RNAcentral lists this ribosomal RNA (479 nucleotides) under uncultured organism. RNAcentral's name for it is "partial 16S ribosomal RNA". It matches the Rfam family "Bacterial small subunit ribosomal RNA", at positions 331 to 801 of the family's 1533-position model. The record is from RNAcentral.
GUACACUCCUACGGGAGGCAGCAGUGGGGAAUUUUGGACAAUGGGCGAAAGCCUGAUCCAGCAAUGCCGCGUGAGUGAAGAAGGCCUUCGGGUUGUAAAGCUCUUUUGUCAGGGAAGAAACGGUGAGAGCUAAUAUCUCUUGCUAAUGACGGUACCUGAAGAAUAAGCACCGGCUAACUACGUGCCAGCAGCCGCGGUAAUACGUAGGGUGCAAGCGUUAAUCGGAAUUACUGGGCGUAAAGCGUGCGCAGGCGGUUUUGUAAGUCUGAUGUGAAAUCCCCGGGCUCAACCUGGGAAUUGCAUUGGAGACUGCAAGGCUAGAAUCUGGCAGAGGGGGGUAGAAUUCCACGUGUAGCAGUGAAAUGCGUAGAUAUGUGGAGGAACACCGAUGGCGAAGGCAGCCCCCUGGGUCAAGAUUGACGCUCAUGCACGAAAGCGUGGGGAGCAAACAGGAUUAGAAACCCUAGUAGUCCCAUGAU